CGAGAUUCUCACUGUCCCUACUUACACCCCCGGCGAAACCACAGCCAAGGGAACGGGCUUGGCGGAAUCGGCGGGGAAAGAAGACCCUGUUGAGCUUGACUCUAGUCGAACGUCGAGGAACAGCACGGACGAACGUAGCAUAGGUGGGAGGCUCCGGCCGAACCUGAAAUACCACCGUCUCCGUCGUUGUUCUUCUCAUUUGGUGGUGUAGGGAUGGGGCGAAGCCCCUUUUUCUGGAGACGGCCGCGACGCGCGCCCGUCCGGGCUCCGUCGCUCGCGCGAGCGAGCGGCGGGGUCCGGCAGGCCUCCGCCCGCGGCGCCUAAUCCGAAGACGUCGUUCGGUGGGGAGUUUGGCUGGGGCGGCACAUCCGUUAAAAGGCAACGCGGGUGUCCAAAGGGGAGCUCGGCGAGAAGGGAAAUCUCGCGUCGAACGAAAGG
This 438-nucleotide ribosomal RNA is filed under the name uncultured eukaryote. RNAcentral's name for it is "eukaryotic LSU rRNA". It matches the Rfam family "Eukaryotic large subunit ribosomal RNA", at positions 2328 to 2708 of the family's 3401-position model. The record is from RNAcentral.